GACGAACGCUGGCGGCGUGCCUAAUACAUGCAAGUAGAACGCUGAAGAGAGGAGCUUGCUCUUCAUGGAUGAGUUGCGAACGGGUGAGUAACGCGUAGGUAACCUGCCUUGUAGCGGGGGAUAACUAUUGGAAACGAUAGCUAAUACCGCAUAACAAUGGAUGACACAUGUCCUUUAUUUGAAAGGGGCAAUUGCUCCACUACAAGAUGGACCUGCGUUGUAUUAGCUAGUAGGUGAGGUAAUGGCUCACCUAGGCGACGAUACAUAGCCGACCUGAGAGGGUGGUCGGCCCAACUGGGACUGAGACACGGCCCAGACUCCUACGGGAGGCAGCAGUAGGGAAUCUUCGGCAAUGGGGGCAACCCUGACCGAGCACCGCCGCGUGAGUGAAGAAGGGUUUCGGAUCGUAAAGCUCUGUUGUAAGUCAAGAACGGGUGUGAGAGUGGAAAGUUCACACUGUGACGGUAGCUUACCAGAAAGGGACGGCUAACUACGUG
Molecule: ribosomal RNA, 497 nt
Filed under: uncultured bacterium
Lineage: Bacteria
Description: partial 16S ribosomal RNA
Rfam family: Bacterial small subunit ribosomal RNA
Source: RNAcentral